GUUGUAUGGUUAAGUGACUAAGCGUACACGGUGGAUGCCUUGGCAGUCAGAGGCGAUGAAAGACGUAGUAACUUGCGAUAAGCCCAGAUUAGGUAGUAACAACCAUUUGAGUCUGGGAUUUCUGAAUGGGGAAACCCACGUGCAUAAGCACGUAUCCUUACCUGAAUACAUAGGGUAAGGAGGCGAACCGGGGGAACUGAAACAUCUAAGUACCCCGAGGAAAAGAAAUCAACCGAGAUUCCGAAAGUAGCGGCGAGCGAAAUUGGACUAGCCCUUAAGCUUUACACGCGUUAGACGAACGGUCUGGAAAGUCCGACGAUACAGGGUGAUAGUCCCGUAGUUGACGACGUGUGUUCAGUGAAAUCGAGUAGGGCGGGACACGUGAUAUCCUGUCUGAAUAUGGGGGGACCAUCCUCCAAGGCUAAAUACUACUGACUGACCGAUAGUGAACCAGUACCGUGAGGGAAAGGCGAAAAGAACCCCUGUGAGGGGAGUGAAAUAGAACCUGAAACCGUGUACGUACAAGCAGUAGGAGCAGGCUUGUCCUGUGACUGCGUACCUUUUGUAUAAUGGGUCAGCGACUUAUAUUCAGUGGCAAGGUUAACCAUCUAGGGGAGCCGUAGGGAAACCGAGUCUUAACUGGGCGUUCAGUCUCUGGAUAUAGACCCGAAACCAGGUGAUCUAGCCAUGGGCAGGUUGAAGGUUGAGUAACAUCAACUGGAGGACCGAACCGACUAAUGUUGAAAAAUUAGCGGAUGACUUGUGGCUAGGGGUGAAAGGCCAAUCAAACCUGGAGAUAGCUGGUUCUCCCCGAAAGCUAUUUAGGUAGCGCCUCGGACGAAUACUACUGGGGGUAGAGCACUGUUAAGGCUAGGGGGUCAUCCCGACUUACCAACCCUUUGCAAACUCCGAAUACCAGUAAGUACUAUCCGGGAGACACACGGCGGGUGCUAACGUCCGUCGUGGAGAGGGAAACAACCCAGACCGCCAGCUAAGGUCCCAAAUUACUACUAAGUGGGAAACGAUGUGGGAAGGCUCAGACAGCCAGGAUGUUGGCUUAGAAGCAGCCAUCAUUUAAAGAAAGCGUAAUAGCUCACUGGUCGAGUCGGCCUGCGCGGAAGAUGUAACGGGGCUAAGUAGUAAACCGAAGCUGCGGCAAUAUACUUUUGUAUAUUGGGUAGGGGAGCGUUCUGUAAGCGGUUGAAGGUGUGUGGUAACGCAUGCUGGACGUAUCAGAAGUGCGAAUGCUGACAUGAGUAACGAUAAAGGGGGUGAAAAACCUCCUCGCCGGAAGACCAAGGGUUCCUGUCCAACGUUAAUCGGGGCAGGGUAAGUCGACCCCUAAGGCGAGGCCGAAAGGCGUAGUCGAUGGGAAACGGGUUAAUAUUCCCGUACUUCUUACAAUUGCGAUGGGGGGACGGAGAAGGCUAGGUGGGCCUGGCGACGGUUGUCCAGGUUCAAGUGCGUAGGCUUAAGAGUUAGGUAAAUCCGGCUCUUUUUAAGGCUGAGACACGACGUCGAGCACCUACGGGUGUGAAGUCAUUGAUGCCAUGCUUCCAGGAAAAGCCUCUAAGCUUCAGAUUGUAAGGAAUCGUACCCCAAACCGACACAGGUGGUCGGGUAGAGAAUACCAAGGCGCUUGAGAGAACUCGGGUGAAGGAACUAGGCAAAAUGGUACCGUAACUUCGGGAGAAGGUACGCUCUUGAUGGUGAAGUCCCUCGCGGAUGGAGCUGACGAGAGUCGCAGAUACCAGGUGGCUGCAACUGUUUAUUAAAAACACAGCACUGUGCAAAAUCGUAAGAUGACGUAUACGGUGUGACGCCUGCCCGGUGCCGGAAGGUUAAUUGAUGGGGUUAGACUUCGGUCGAAGCUCUUGAUCGAAGCCCCGGUAAACGGCGGCCGUAACUAUAACGGUCCUAAGGUAGCGAAAUUCCUUGUCGGGUAAGUUCCGACCUGCACGAAUGGCGUAAUGAUGGCCACGCUGUCUCCACCCGAGACUCAGUGAAAUUGAAAUCGCUGUGAAGAUGCAGUGUACCCGCGGCUAGACGGAAAGACCCCGUGAACCUUUACUACAGCUUGGCACUGAACAUUGACCCUACAUGUGUAGGAUAGGUGGGAGGCUUUGAAGCACGUACGCCAGUAUGUGUGGAGCCGUCCUUGAAAUACCACCCUUGUAGUGUUGAUGUUCUAACGUCGACCCCUAAUCGGGGUUGCGGACAGUGCCUGGUGGGUAGUUUGACUGGGGCGGUCUCCUCCCAAAGAGUAACGGAGGAGCACGAAGGUGGGCUAAUCACGGUUGGACAUCGUGAGGUUAGUGCAAUGGCAUAAGCCCGCUUGACUGCGAGAAUGACAAUUCGAGCAGGUGCGAAAGCAGGUCAUAGUGAUCCGGUGGUUCUGAAUGGAAGGGCCAUCGCUCAACGGAUAAAAGGUACUCCGGGGAUAACAGGCUGAUACCGCCCAAGAGUUCAUAUCGACGGCGGUGUUUGGCACCUCGAUGUCGGCUCAUCACAUCCUGGGGCUGAAGUCGGUCCCAAGGGUAUGGCUGUUCGCCAUUUAAAGUGGUACGCGAGCUGGGUUUAGAACGUCGUGAGACAGUUCGGUCCCUAUCUGCCGUGGGCGUUGGAAGAUUGAAGGGGGCUGCUCCUAGUACGAGAGGACCGGAGUGGACGAACCUCUGGUGUUCGGGUUGUGUCGCCAGACGCAUUGCCCGGUAGCUAAGUUCGGAAUCGAUAACCGCUGAAAGCAUCUAAGCGGGAAGCGAGCCCUGAGAUGAGUCUUCCCUGAUACUUUAAGUAUCCUAAAGGGUUGUCGGAGACUACGACGUUGAUAGGUCAGGUGUGUAAGUGCUGUGAGGCAUUGAGCUAACUGAUACUAAUUGCCCGUGAGGCUUAACCAUACAACACCCAAGGGGUUU
RNAcentral lists this ribosomal RNA (2915 nucleotides) under Vibrio parahaemolyticus. RNAcentral describes it as "bacterial LSU rRNA". It matches the Rfam family "Bacterial large subunit ribosomal RNA". The record is from RNAcentral. Lineage: Bacteria; Pseudomonadati; Pseudomonadota; Gammaproteobacteria; Vibrionales; Vibrionaceae.